GGUGCGAGUUUGAUCCUGAGUUCUGACCCAGUGCAGAUACUUGGUGAGAUUAGUGGUGCUUUCUCUUCAACCCCAGCUAAAGAAAGGCCACAAGCUCACAUGUCUGCCUUAAUGGCCCUUGUGCAGUGGAUAGGCAUUAAGCCCAAACCUUUCCUUUUCUUACUCUACCUCUGGUGCCCUCAGCUCACCUCACCGCCACAGGCAAGGUAGCGGCCAGCCACCGUCCACGCCAGCCAGACGCAAAGCGGGGCCAGCCUGUUGUCCACCUUACACAGGUCAACCAGUGGCAAGGGUUACGCAAGGAUAAAAAGGUUGAGAAACGCUGUCCUCUGCAAGUAACCUACCCUUAUCUGCCAUGCUGGGAGCUGGUCGGUGCAGUGUUGUCCGAGUGGAGUGCUGUGGAGUACUGCGUUUGUGCGUCUGCGACUGGUAACUGUGUAUCUCAUGACGAGAAGCGAGAGCUGCCAUGCAUUUCCUCCGAUGCAACUCACUGACAGACAUAUCAUUUAUUUUUUUUCACGUGUCCUUCACUACUCAUGACUUGUAUAUU
Portunus trituberculatus (swimming crab) is the source of this 550-nucleotide long non-coding RNA. RefSeq lists it as uncharacterized. NCBI's taxonomy places the organism in Eukaryota, Metazoa, Arthropoda, Malacostraca, Decapoda, Portunidae. The record is from RefSeq and is a predicted model, not a curated record. The transcript has 3 exons.